This 842-nucleotide ribosomal RNA is filed under the name uncultured bacterium. RNAcentral's name for it is "bacterial SSU rRNA". It matches the Rfam family "Bacterial small subunit ribosomal RNA", at positions 62 to 900 of the family's 1533-position model. The record is from RNAcentral.
UCGACGAAGAGGAGAGCUUGCUCUUCUCUUAGUGGCGAACGGGUGAGUAAUACAUAAGCAAUCUGCCCAUGGGACUGGGAUAACUAUUGGAAACGAUAGCUAAUACCGGAUAGGUGAGCUGGGGACAUCCCCUACUCAUUAAAGUUGGGUUAAACCAACACCUGUGGAUGAGCUUAUGGCGCAUUAGCUAGUUGGUGAGGUAACGGCCCACCAAGGCGGUGAUGCGUAGCCGACCUGAGAGGGUGACCGGCCACACUGGGACUGAGACACGGCCCAGACUCCUACGGGAGGCAGCAGUAGGGAAUUUUCGGCAAUGGGCGAAAGCCUGACCGAGCAACGCCGCGUGAGUGAUGAAGGUCUUCGGAUUGUAAAGCUCUGUUGUCAGGGAAGAACGACCAGACGAGGAAAUGCGUUUGGAGUGACGGUACCUGACCAGAAAGCCACGGCUAACUACGUGCCAGCAGCCGCGGUAAUACGUAGGUGGCAAGCGUUAUCCGGAAUUAUUGGGCGUAAAGGGUGCGUAGGCGGUUUGAUAAGUCUAAGGUGAAAGUUCGGAGCUUAACUCCGGAUUGCCUUAGAAACUGUCAGACUAGAGUGCAGGAGAGGGCAAUGGAAUUCCAUGUGUAGCGGUAAAAUGCGUAGAUAUAUGGAGGAACACCAGUGGCGAAGGCGGUUGCCUGGCCUGUAACUGACGCUGAAGCACGAAAGCGUGGGGAGCAAAUAGGAUUAGAUACCCUAGUAGUCCACGCUGUAAACGAUGAUUACUAAGUGUUGGGGAAACUCAGUGCUGCAGUUAACGCAAUAAGUAAUCCGCCUGGGGAGUAUGCACGCAAGUGUGAAAC